ACUGGCUCAGGAUGAACGCUGGCGGCGUGCUUAACACAUGCAUGUCGAACGAAGCACUUUAUUUGAUUUCCUUCGGGACUGAUUAUUUUGUGACUGAGUGGCGGACGGGUGAGUAACGCGUGGGUAACCUGCCUUGUACAGAGGGAUAGCAGUUGGAAACGGCUGCUAAUACCGCAUAAGCGCACAGCAUCGCAUGAUGCAGUGUGAAAAACUCCGGUGGUAUAAGAUGGACCCGCGUUGGGUUAGCUAGUUGGUGAGGUAACGGCCCACCAAGGCGACGAUCCAUAGCCGACCUGAGAGGGUGACCGGCCACAUUGGGACUGAGACACGGCCCAAACUCCUACGGGAGGCAGCAGUGGGGAAUAUUGCACAAUGGGCGAAAGCCUGAUGCAGCGACGCCGCGUGAGCGAAGAAGUAUUUCGGUAUGUAAAGCUCUAUCAGCAGGGAAGAUAAUGACGGUACCUGACUAAGAAGCACCGGCUAAAUACGUGCCAGCAGCCGCGGUAAUACGUAUGGUGCAAGCGUUAUCCGGAUUUACUGGGUGUAAAGGGAGCGCAGGCGGUGCGGCAAGUCUGUUGUGAAAGCCCGGGGCUCAACCUCGGUACUGCAUUGGAAACUGUCGUUCUAGAGUGUCGGAGGGGUAAGCGGAAUUCCUAGUGUAGCGGUGAAAUGCGUAGAUAUUAGGAGGAACACCAGUGGCGAAGGCGGCUUACUGGACGAUAACUGACGCUGAGGCUCGAAAGCGUGGGGAGCAAACAGGAUUAGAUACCCUGGUAGUCCACGCCGUA
Molecule: ribosomal RNA, 788 nt
Filed under: uncultured bacterium
Lineage: Bacteria
Description: bacterial SSU rRNA
Rfam family: Bacterial small subunit ribosomal RNA
Source: RNAcentral